GGGGUGACUAGUGACAGAGUGUGGAAGAGGGUGACUAUUGUCAGAGGGGGUGAUUAGUGACAGAGUGAGGGAGGGGGUGACACAGUGACAGAGUUAGGGAGGGAGUGACUAGUGACAGUCACCCCCUCCCUCCCUCUGUCACUAGUCACUCCCUCCCUCUGUCACUAGUCACUCCCUCCCUCUGUCACCAGUCAUCCCCUCACUCUGUCACCAGUCACCCCUUCCCUCCCUCACUCUGCCACUAGUCACCCAUUCCCUAACUCUGUCACUAGUCACCCCC
Molecule: non-coding RNA, 280 nt
Organism: Pelobates cultripes (western spadefoot toad)
Lineage: Eukaryota; Metazoa; Chordata; Amphibia; Anura; Pelobatidae
Source: the annotation of a GenBank genome assembly